GCUUACGGCCAUUCCACCCUGAACACGCCCGAUCUCGGAAGCUAAGCAGGGUCGGGCCUGGUUAGUACUUGGAUGGGAGACCGCCUGGGAAUACCAGGUGCUGUAAGCU
RNAcentral lists this ribosomal RNA (109 nucleotides) under Labrus bergylta (ballan wrasse). Lineage: Eukaryota; Metazoa; Chordata; Actinopteri; Labriformes; Labridae. The record is from RNAcentral.